Molecule: ribosomal RNA, 924 nt
Filed under: uncultured bacterium
Lineage: Bacteria
Also listed under: 1 other name
Description: bacterial SSU rRNA
Rfam family: Bacterial small subunit ribosomal RNA
Source: RNAcentral
GGAUCCAGACUUUGAUUAUGGCUCAGGAUGAACGCUAGCUACAGGCUUAACACAUGCAAGUCGAGGGGAAACGAUAGAGAAAGCUUGCUUUUUCUAGGCGUCGACCGGCGCACGGGUGAGUAACGCGUAUCCAACCUGCCCAUCACUUGGGGAUAACCUUGCGAAAGUAAGACUAAUACCCAAUGAUAUCUCAAGAAGACAUCUGAAUGAGAUUAAAGAUUUAUCGGUGAUGGAUGGGGAUGCGUCUGAUUAGCUUGUUGGCGGGGUAACGGCCCACCAAGGCGACGAUCAGUAGGGGUUCUGAGAGGAAGGUCCCCCACAUUGGAACUGAGACACGGUCCAAACUCCUACGGGAGGCAGCAGUGAGGAAUAUUGGUCAAUGGGCGAGAGCCUGAACCAGCCAAGUAGCGUGCAGGAAGACGGCCCUAUGGGUUGUAAACUGCUUUUAUAAGGGAAUAAAGUGAGCCUCGUGAGGCUUUUUGCAUGUACCUUAUGAAUAAGGACCGGCUAAUUCCGUGCCAGCAGCCGCGGUAAUACGGAAGGUCCGGGCGUUAUCCGGAUUUAUUGGGUUUAAAGGGAGCGUAGGCCGGAGAUUAAGCGUGUUGUGAAAUGUAGAUGCUCAACAUCUGCACUGCAGCGCGAACUGGUUUCCUUGAGUACGCACAAAGUGGGCGGAAUUCGUGGUGUAGCGGUGAAAUGCUUAGAUAUCACGAAGAACUCCGAUUGCGAAGGCAGCUCACUGGAGCGCAACUGACGCUGAAGCUCGAAAGUGCGGGUAUCGAACAGGAUUAGAUACCCUGGUAGUCCGCACCGUAAACGAUGGAUGCCCGCUGUUGGUCUGAAUAGGUCAGCGGCCAAGCGAAAGCAUUAAGCAUCCCACCUGGGGAGUACGCCGGCAACGGUGCAACUCAAAUGAAUUGACGG